This 762-nucleotide non-coding RNA is filed under the name Mordellochroa milleri. The record is from RNAcentral. Lineage: Eukaryota; Metazoa; Arthropoda; Insecta; Coleoptera; Mordellidae.
AAAAAGUUUUAUUUUGGCUUAAAACCUAAUUUUGUAUUUUUAAUUUAUGUUAAUUUUAGUUUCUAAAGGAUGAAAAGUGAAAGGCAGGAUUUAAUUUUAAAUUUAAAAGGAAUUUUGAUUUAGAAAUAUAUUUAUAAUGUAGGCUUAGGUUGUGCCAGCUGCCGCGGUUAGACAAUCUAUGUGAAUUAGUUUUUUUUAAUUUAGUUAAUUUAAUAUUUGAAUAUAAAUUUAUUUAAGAAUUUAUUAGGUGAAAUUUUAAAUUUGUUUCGGGUUUAGGUUUAUUUUUUGAGUCUAGGAGAAUUUUUUUUUAAAAACUAGGAUUAGAUACCCUAUUAUUAUAAUUGUAGUUGGUUAGUUAAAAUUAGUAGUAGUUAGGCUCUAUAAAAUUAAAAAAUUUGGCGGUAUUUUAGUCCAUUCAGAGGAACCUGUCUCGUAAACGAUAGUCCACGAUAAUUUAAACUUUAUUUUUUAAUUUGCAUGUCGUCGUAUAUAGAAUAUUUUUGAAGAAUUUAAAUGUUCAUUAUUUUAAUUAAAAAGUUAAUUCAGAUCAAGGCGUAGUUUAUAAUAAAGGGAUGAUGGGUUACAUUAGAAUUUUUUUGGUCUUCUUUUUUAAAAUGAGAAUUAAAUUGGAUUUGAAAGUAAUUAUAAAUUUUAUUUUAUUUUGAUUUUGGCUCUAAAAUAUGCACAUAUUGCCCGUCGCUUUCAUUUUAGUUGAAAUAAGUCGUAACAAAGUAGGCCUAUUGGAAAAUGGGCCUAGAAUAU